GGCUGGUCCAAAAGCAGUAAGUUCUCAUUGAUUGUUCACAGAUUGAACUUGUUCUACUCUUUCCUCUUCCUACUGUACUUGACUUGUGGGAA
Molecule: non-coding RNA, 92 nt
Filed under: Otolemur garnettii (small-eared galago)
Lineage: Eukaryota; Metazoa; Chordata; Mammalia; Primates; Galagidae
Source: RNAcentral